CGACUGUGCUUAUCACCAGAAAACCGUCUUCAGCUUCCUCAAGCAAGGCCAUGGUGGUGAGGUUAUCUCAGCCGUGUUUGACCGGGAACAGCAUACCCUCAACCUCCCAGCAGUCAACAGCAUCACCUACGUCCUCCGCUUCCUGGAGAAACUCUGCCACAACCUUCGUAGUGACAAUCUGUUUGGCAACCAGCCCUUUACACAGACUCACUUGUCACUCACUGCCACAGAGUACAGCCACAGCCACGACAGGUGGACCUUCUUGGGACCACAGCUUAAACUUCAAGGUGUCAGGAAGACCUCCAAGGCUCUCCUCAUCCAAAAGAGAUGCACCUGAUACUGUCCAUCUUAAUAUCCUGUUUCUUUCCUUUGUUAUAAUUAUAAUAGUUGCUAAUAUUUUUAGCUACCUGUAUUUUGUCAUCUGCCUCACUAUAGUAAAUGUUCCAUGAGGAUAGAGACAAUAUCUUUUUCACCAUUCUCAGUAUCCAUCAUCCUAACUGUCACAUGGUGAAACCUUUGUCCUGGGGAAUAGUCUGGCCCGCUCCUUGGAACCACACUCAGACUCAAUGGACUCUGCCUCAAAUCCCACCAACCUUGUCAGCACCUCCCAAAGGCACCGGCCCUUGCUUUCAUCCUGUGGCCUCCCACCAAGCACUGCCUCAGCUGUGCGCAGGCUAUGCUCCAAGG
This 687-nucleotide small RNA is filed under the name Pongo abelii (Sumatran orangutan). RNAcentral describes it as "processed transcript". The record is from RNAcentral. Lineage: Eukaryota; Metazoa; Chordata; Mammalia; Primates; Hominidae.